RNAcentral lists this ribosomal RNA (2367 nucleotides) under Triticum aestivum (bread wheat). Its description in RNAcentral is "partial small subunit ribosomal RNA". Lineage: Eukaryota; Viridiplantae; Streptophyta; Magnoliopsida; Poales; Poaceae. The record is from RNAcentral.
AUGAUUGAUGAUGAGGCUAACUUUGACGACAUCAUUGAUGCCCCUGCAGAAGUGGAAGCUGCUGCAAAGUUUCAUCCUAAUAAGCUGCGGGGCAAGCUUUGGAAGAAAUCUGUGCCAUCAAGAUCUGUUGUACCCAAUCGUACAGUGGAAACAAGUGAUGAGAAGGCUCUAGCUUUAAGUCAAGAUAAUUUGUCUCAAGGACUUGUUACGAAUCAAGGAAUAGCAUCUUCGGCCGUUCUUGGUAGUGAAACGAUUGGUGGUGCGGAAGCUUGUGGGGGCACUAUUUACACACCUUCUGAUGAUGUGCUGGCAGUUUCUUCUGUAGAUAGGGUUUCACAAAAUGACGAUCCUCAUGAUGAUCCAUCUGAAGUAGCUACGCUCCAAGAAAACUUGGUUGUUUCAGAGACCCAAGCAUCAUCCACCCAUCCAACUAGCAAGACAGUUGAUGAUUUAGCUGACUUUGGGGAACUAUUUGACACACAUUCUGAAGAGGAAAACGUUGCAAAGUCCAAGCUAAAAAUUAAGGUGAAACUCAGCAAGGCAGCAUCCAAGUCCCGAAAGACUGGCCAAAAGAAGGCAGCUUCAACUGUAGACGUGGUCUCACAAAAUAAAGAGGAUGGUAACGAUGAUGUCAGAGGAUGCAACGAUGAGCAGGCACAAGCUCCUAGACAUGAAGAAUAUGUACAGACCUCAGAUUCUCAGCCACCCUUGGGAACUGAUGAUGGUACAGUUGACAAUUUCGUUAACCACAUCCGCAUCCUUGAAGAGCCUGGUCCAGAGGAAACGGCUGCAAAGUUACGCCCUAAAUCACAAAGAAAACCUGGCAGGGCUUCAUCCAAGGCUGUUGGGACUAGUGAUGAUUAUGCAGCAGCUAAUCUAAAGGAUAUCAAUGCUAGUGUUGAUAUAGACUCUCAAGAUGGGCUGAUAAAUCCUCAUACUGAUGAUACUCAACCUAUCUUUGGAGAACCCUCAGCUGAAGCUGCUGCUACAUUUCUACUUGAUCUUGGAAAGAAAAAGGGCAAAGGCAAAUCAGUAACAUUUAUUCUACCAGAUGAUUAUGAGGGGGUCGCUGCAACAGAUACCAACCAUAAUGACAUAGGAUCUGAUGAAAAUUUGAACACCUUGCCUCAGCAAGCACCUCAAAAGCAUUGUCUUACUGAAGAACAUUCAGACGAUCAGGAAUAUACUGAUAGGGAGAGCCAGUACUAUGAGGGGGAGCGAUCAGAUCAUGGUGUUGAACAACAAUCCAAAUUGGAUGUUGGAAAACAAGAAUUAUCAAUGAAGUUGAGAAGCAGGACAGAGAUUCAGAAGGUUGGGUUAUCUGAGCAUAUUGUUGACGAUCAUCUUGAUGAAGAUUUUGUUGAACCUUCAGCAGCCGAACAAAAUAAUGAUAGUGGCGACGAGAACACUGCUGGAGGAAAGCAGAAGGCACCAAGAAAGUCAAGGAAGAAAGAUCCAAAUAAAGAACCUUUGAGGGGUUCCAAGCGCACCUCGACGAAAUCCACUUCGGAAAAAUCACAGCCGAACCAGCAGAAAAAUAAAAGUGAAGUAUCGUCACGCGGUCGUAAGAGAGCCUUGAAAGAUACAAUGACAGAACAGCCUGAGAAGAAGCUUACUCACAGAAUUCGUCAAAAAAGAGCUCAAGAAGUGCAAACGUUACUUCAAAAACCUGAUCAUGAGAUAGAUCGCAUGAAGCUAAGUGUGACGCAUCUCAGGUUGUUACAAGAGGCCAGAGAGCGUAUUCAGAGUAAAACACCGUCAGGACCAUCAUCCUCUAAUCAAAGCAGCUCCCGUUUUGGAGAUACUGACGAUUUUGAUCCUUUUGGAGAUAACUAUGACAAUGACAGAACAGAGAAUCAGGCGCUAGAAAAUGCUACUAAACUGAAUUACCAUUCUUAUAUGGACAAAAAGACACGGGCCAAAUGGACAAAAUCUGACACUGACUUGUUUUACCAGGGUCUUCAACAAUUUGGUAGCGAUUUUGCAAUGAUACAGCAACUAUUCCCAGAUAAGUCCCGUGAUCAGGUACGGCAAAAGUUUAAAAGUGAGGACAAAAAGCAUCCAAUGCAAGUCCACGAUGCUAUACUUCAUCGCUCGAGAGAUAACUUGUAUUUAAAACAAGUAAUGAAACAGCUCAACAUUGAAGAUUCGCUCAAAGACAUCAACAUUACACAAAAACAAGAGGUUGCACCAACUGAAGGGAACACUGGAAAUGAUGUUAUUUCUGAAACUAACACGUUCAGUGUUGAGAACGUUUCAAAUUUGUCAGAUGAAGAAAUGGGCACGCACCAAUCUGAGGUCAAAGAAGGGGAGGAUGUUGCUGGAAAUGCUGAUGAUGUUGACCUGGAUGUUUUUGAUUGGUACUAG